UACGUAGGGGGCUAGCGUUGUCCGGAUUUAUUGGGCGUAAAGAGCGUGUAGGCGGCCAUGUAGGUCCGGUGUGAAAACUCGAGGCUUAACCUCGAGAUGUCAUCGGAAACCAUUUGGCUAGAGUCCGGAAGAGGAGAGUGGAAUUCCUGGUGUAGCGGUGAAAUGCGCAGAUAUCAGGAGGAACACCGGUGGCGAAGGCGGGUCUCUGGGUCGAUACUGACGCUGAGGAGCGAAAGCGUGGGGAGCAAACAGG
Molecule: ribosomal RNA, 253 nt
Filed under: uncultured bacterium
Lineage: Bacteria
Description: partial 16S ribosomal RNA
Rfam family: Bacterial small subunit ribosomal RNA
Source: RNAcentral